This 404-nucleotide ribosomal RNA is filed under the name uncultured bacterium. RNAcentral's name for it is "bacterial SSU rRNA". It matches the Rfam family "Bacterial small subunit ribosomal RNA", at positions 356 to 773 of the family's 1533-position model. The record is from RNAcentral.
GGGGAAUAUUGCGCAAUGGGGGGAACCCUGACGCAGCGACGCCGCGUGAAGGAAGAAGGUUUUCGGAUUGUAAACUUCUUUGGCUGGGGACGAAGAAAGGUGACGGUACCCAGAGAACAAGCCACGGCUAACUACGUGCCAGCAGCCGCGGUAAUACGUAGGUGGCGAGCGUUGUCCGGAAUUACUGGGUGUAAAGGGCGUGUGGGCGGGAGAGCAAGUCAGAUGUGAAAACCCGAGGCUUAACUUUGGGAUUGCAUCUGAAACUGUUCUUCUUGAGUACUGGAGAGGGAAGCGGAAUUCCUAGUGUAGCGGUGAAAUGCGUAGAGAUUAGGAGGAACACCAGUGGCGAAGGCGGCUUCCUGGACAGAGACUGACGCUGAGGCGCGAAAGCGUGGGGAGCGAAC